Long non-coding RNA from Pipra filicauda (Wire-tailed manakin), 257 nucleotides. RefSeq lists it as uncharacterized. The record is from RefSeq and is a predicted model, not a curated record. NCBI's taxonomy places the organism in Eukaryota, Metazoa, Chordata, Aves, Passeriformes, Pipridae. The transcript has 3 exons.
CCCUCCCCAAACUGCUGUGGAGAUCAGGUUGAGCUGCCCUACAGCUGAAUGGACUGCAGUGUGAGGGAUACAUCUGGAUUUAAAAAAAAAAUGUUGCCACAGUGUCUCAUCAUCUCCUGGUUAAAUGAUAAGUCUAUGAAGAAAAAAGUCUUCUGUGAAGGUAUGGAUCCUAUCUCCCCACUUGUUGGUGCAGGGCUCUACACUACCCAAGAAGUAGAAAAAAAAUGAGCAGGACUGACUCAGGCUCAGUAGGCCUG